Long non-coding RNA from Sebastes umbrosus (honeycomb rockfish), 1587 nucleotides. RefSeq lists it as uncharacterized. The record is from RefSeq and is a predicted model, not a curated record. Lineage: Eukaryota; Metazoa; Chordata; Actinopteri; Perciformes; Sebastidae. The transcript is spliced from 3 exons.
GUGAGGGAAAUAACGCUCAGAGUUACUCUGCUAUAAAGAGGUUUGAGGUAAAUUCUGAGUGUUAUUUCCCUCACUGCUUAGAAGUUCAGACUCAUUUGUGAAGGUGGAUUUAAUGGUAUAGGCUGAUACAAUUGGUAGCUGUCCUUUUACAUGGCAUCCUUUUCAUUGAUUGGAGAAAGGCGGUGGCAGUUCCCUUGUUGCUAAUAGCCUGCUGAUGUCUAAUCGGGGACUGGGUGACCUUUACAGGAGACACCCUACUUUCUUCCCCCCUACACAGCCAUCCAGCCACACACACACACACACACACACUGCAGUCAAGGACUGUUAAUCCGGUGAGUUAGCACGCGAUCACCAAACCGUAUGCCAUUUCAUCUGUCAUCUCCAAGUGAAAUUGACAGGUAAUGUGGCACAAAUGAUCCCCUCCUAUUCCAUUUAAUGAAACAUUAUACCCCUUAUCAGAACAAAAACAUUAAAGCAUCAUAAAUAGACCAUGAUCUAGUACAGGUCUGGACAAUAAAACAAUCUUGAAAAUGUUAACGAUAAAAUCUUUCAUGAUAACGAUGAUAAAGUUAUGAGAUUUAUAACACUGGAUGAACAGCCAAUCUGUCUAACCAUACUCUGUCGCUACUGUUGUGGCUGUUAAAUAAAUAAAUCAUUUUGAGCGUCACAACUAGCAGUGUCAGGAUUUUGAUUCGGAAUCGAAAAUGUAUUGAUAUGAGCUUUUGAUUUAGAACUUUGAAGUCAAAAGCAGGAUAAGCGAUUCUCCCAGUAUUUCUUUUUUCUCUCCACUCUGCCUACUUGUUCUACGGUUUGUUAUGUCUUUAUAGCAGACUGUUGCUAUGUAUAACAGACCGUUGCUAUGGGCGCAAUUCUGAUGUUGCACUCUGGCGGACCGUUUUUGUGUCACAUUAUUGAUUUCUUAAAUAAGUAGCCGUGUAAUAAGCAGGAUAAUGUACAGCUAGCGGGUCAUUGUUGUGAAAUAAACCCUGACAGGGCGAUGCGGUUAGGCCUUGUCGGGGUCCACGCCAACAUGGCCCUUACUAAUUAACUUUCUGGUUUCUUUAGGGUUCAACGUCCUAAAGAGAAUACUCUUAAAACUGUAAAUUGAGCAUUAUGAAUAAUAAAUAUGUAUAUGGUGACAAUUAUCAUCAUCGAUCAAUAUAAAAAAUAAUAUCAUGAUAACAUUUUUGUCCAUAUCGUCCAGCCCUGGCUCAUACAUUUUCAUCCCUCCACCGACACACACCCACAGACAGAGAAAGUGAGACAUGCAGGAUUCAUAAAACUUGGAGAAUCAAAAACUUUGUGCAAAAAAAGUUAAGAAAUCAAUUUUAAUCUUUUACUAAAUCAGUAUCACAUUAUGAAUAUGGCUCCUGCCUGCAGGACAUCUGAAUUUGUGCGCAGAGUGUGUAAUAGGGUGAUCUGAUCACACUGUAAUUGUACUGAAAUGAAAUCACCUCGUCUCAUUCUACUCGACUGGGGUGUCCUUACACCCGAGAGAAUACUCACAAUAACUUGGUCCUCGAGUAAAACGGCCUAAUGGAAGUGUGAAUGACUUUCACACCUUGAGUCUUUCUGCAUGCAGACAUA